This 768-nucleotide ribosomal RNA is filed under the name uncultured Mycobacterium sp. Its description in RNAcentral is "bacterial SSU rRNA". It matches the Rfam family "Bacterial small subunit ribosomal RNA", at positions 578 to 1344 of the family's 1533-position model. Lineage: Bacteria; Bacillati; Actinomycetota; Actinomycetes; Mycobacteriales; Mycobacteriaceae. The record is from RNAcentral.
GUUUGUCGCGUUGUUCGUGAAAUCUCACGGCUUAACUGUGAGCGUGCGGGCGAUACGGGCAGACUUGAGUACUGCAGGGGAGACUGGAAUUCCUGGUGUAGCGGUGGAAUGCGCAGAUAUCAUGGGGAACACCGGUGGCGAAGGCGGGUCUCUGGGCAGUAACUGACGCUGAGGAGCGAAAGCGUGGGGAGCGAACAGGAUUAGAUACCCUGGUAGUCCACGCCGUAAACGGUGGGUACUAGGUGUGGGUUUCCUUCCUUGGGAUCCGUGCCGUAGCUAACGCAUUAAGUACCCCGCCUGGGGAGUACGGCCGCAAGGCUAAAACUCAAAGAAAUUGACGGGGGCCCGCACAAGCGGCGGAGCAUGUGGAUUAAUUCGAUGCAACGCGAAGAACCUUACCUGGGUUUGACAUGCACAGGACGCCGGCAGAGAUGUCGGUUCCCUUGUGGCCUGUGUGCAGGUGGUGCAUGGCUGCCGUCAGCUCGUGUCGUGAGAUGUUGGGUUAAGUCCCGCAACGAGCGCAACCCUUGUCUCAUGUUGCCAGCGGGUAAUGCCGGGGACUCGUGAGAGACUGCCGGGGUCAACUCGGAGGAAGGUGGGGAUGACGUCAAGUCAUCAUGCCCCUUAUGUCCAGGGCUUCACACAUGCUACAAUGGCCGGUACAAAGGGCUGCGAUGCCGCGAGGUUAAGCGAAUCCUUUUAAAGCCGGUCUCAGUUCGGAUCGGGGUCUGCAACUCGACCCCGUGAAGUCGGAGUCGCUAGUAAUCG